Long non-coding RNA from Homarus americanus (American lobster), 2325 nucleotides. RefSeq lists it as uncharacterized. The record is from RefSeq and is a predicted model, not a curated record. The transcript is spliced from 10 exons. Lineage: Eukaryota; Metazoa; Arthropoda; Malacostraca; Decapoda; Nephropidae.
GGAGCCGUGUGUCAUGGCCUCCUCCAUGUAAACAAAGCGGAGAAAAAUAUUGUGAAGAAAAUUGAGAACAGAGGAGCGUCUGAUGCCGGGCGCCGGGAGCCAGUGCUGCUUCAGACGUCGCCGGGGCAGGUGUCGGGCGUCCUCAGCUGACAUACUCUGUUCCUACAAUGUACAAUCGGACCAUGCUAGGUAUAAGAGGGAGAUUUCCAAGAAUUCUCCCUAAUAUAGGGAAAUACGGCCUCUCUGAGGAGGCCAUUGAAAGAUUUACGUAUAACACCUCUGAAAAGCAACCAUCAAAGAAAUUGUGGCAAACAUACUAAAUAUUAACCAAGAACAGCGGAGGUCUUUGACCAUCGUCAGAUAUUAAAACCAAUCAUUACCUUGAAGAACAUUAAAAAUCUGAACAUCUCAAAUUACGCCAUAAGAUCGUACCAUGAUGGGUCUUCGGGAGCGAAUCAGGCGGCGAAUCCUCCCGAACCUUUUUAAAUAUGGCCUCUCUGAGGCCAUUGAAAUAUUUACGUAAAACACCUCUGCAUAAGUUCCUGCCAUGUUUACCUAAACUCCCCACUUAGUCUGGCGUCAUCUCCUCCUCCUUAUUGGUUAGAUGAUGGAUCCAGUUACUGUUGUGUUAAAGGCCAGUUUGGUGCAUCAGUGGUCGUCAGCACCUCCGUAUUUAUUGAGAGCAGCAGCAUGGAAGCACAGCACAGGGCAGUGUAGAGGCCAGCAAGAACUUAAAAAAUUUUGGAUUGGCAGCUUUAGAAAACUGUUGCACUGGGUAUUCUUUCCAAAUGUCAAAAAAGAACCCAAUGAGGCCAUGAAUGUUAACACUAAACGCACGUUACCAAAUUUAUUCGAAAAGGAAAUGGCGUAAGACUUAUCAUUCAAAAAGGAAAUUGUGCAAGAGCUAUCAAUCCAGCAGGUAAUACAGCAUAUUUCGUCCGGACGUAACCAUGGGGAUGACUCGGCCAAUUCCCACCAAAACCCCAGUCAGGGUAGUGGUGGCCGAAGGGAAGUCGAGGCUGUUGGACGAGGGGCGUUGGUCGUUAUGGAAGGUAGCGACAGAACGGGCAAGUCGACACAGGCCAAGAUUCUCGUCGAGUCUCUAAACAAGCUUGGAAAACCGACAGUCUUCAUGCGGGUCCCAGAUCUGCCUGGGAAGAAGUGGCAGUCCCUAAAAGAGCAUUACGUAAAGCACAUUGUUCGAAAGAUUGGUGCAUACGAGAAAGAUAAAACUAUAAAAUCAAGCAUGUUGUUUGUGUAAGUACAGAACAGUACAUUGUGUUAACAGUACUGUACGUGGGGAGGCAAAAUGGGGGAGACAGUUUUCACAAUGAUUGCUAACUGUUCAUCAGUGAAGUAGACCUAUGGCUUUGAACUUAAAUCUAUAAGCUUCAUUGGUAUGUGUACCUUGGAUACCUUUUUGUCAGGCUACAGACAUUUACCAAUAGUUGCUGGGAGUGUAAACAUACAACCACAAAUUAAGAAAUUCUUAUUUGUUCCUGCUCAAACAAAUUGUUUUAAGACAGUCUUUUAUCUUAAAAAUUUAAAAAAAUCCUCAUAUCAGUUGUCCUGGAUUUUAUGCCUUCCCUUUUCGUGAAGGUUUCACACUAGUACACGUUGACCAACGUCCAAUGCUUUCCUCGAGCUUUCUUAUCAUACAGAAGCUUCCUACUCACCCUUAUUCUCCAAAUUAUCGUUUGCAACUCUCCAGGCAUUCUCUAAUACGUCUGUGUAGGGUCACCCAAUCGUCACACGAGUCCUCCUCUGCUUGUGCUAACAACAUAUCUAUUAUAAGCUUGGGAUCAGUACCGAAGAUCGAAGUGUGAGGGGAGAACCCAGUGGUCGGGUUAGGAGUCUUAUUAUAGAUGGCGGUUACCAUUCCAAAAUGCUUGCCCAAUGUUUCUUUUGCUUGAUUGACAAAGUUCGCAACAAUUGGUGCAUUGUGCGGUGAAACCUCUCGCACUGUCCAUUUCCACAGCACCUCUGCAUAAUGAAUCUAGUGGUGCAUUCGAUGCCCUGAUGACCCCAUGUCGUCAUGCAAAAGUUUCAUUACCUUCCCCUUCAAGGUAGUAGGCAAAACUAGUUGUUUUAGCUCCUUCUGGGCUCUACACGGCAUUGCUCUUUUAGUUGAUACAGUAUGUAACAGCACCUUUGCUUUAUAUAAAUAUUCACCCAAAUUAAUAGCACCAAGUUAUUCAACGACCACACACUUCUCUGGGGUUGGUGACCCCCUUCCUUUCUCUUUUGCCUAAUGGCGUAGUUUGUGAUCUUCAGUUGGUGAUCUGAAAAUAAAAAAACAUUAUUAACAACCAUGAAUGAAAGCAA